This 461-nucleotide ribosomal RNA is filed under the name uncultured Anoxybacillus sp. RNAcentral's name for it is "bacterial SSU rRNA". It matches the Rfam family "Bacterial small subunit ribosomal RNA", at positions 920 to 1382 of the family's 1533-position model. Lineage: Bacteria; Bacillati; Bacillota; Bacilli; Caryophanales; Anoxybacillaceae. The record is from RNAcentral.
CCCGCACAAGCGGUGGAGCAUGUGGUUUAAUUCGACGCAACGCGAAGAACCUUACCAGGGCUUGACAUCCCCUGACCGCGUAUGAAAGUACGUUUCACCUUCGGGAGACAGGGAGACAGGUGGUGCAUGGUUGUCGUCAGCUCGUGUCGUGAGAUGUUGGGUUAAGUCCCGCAACGAGCGCAACCCUCGACCUUAGUUGCCAGCAUUCAGUUGGGCACUCUAAGGUGACUGCCGGCUAAAAGUCGGAGGAAGUGGGGAUGACGUCAAAUCAUCAUGCCCCUUAUGACCUGGGCUACACACGUGCUACAAUGGGCGGUACAAAGGGUCGCGAACCCGCGAGGGGGAGCCAAUCCCAAAAAGCCGCUCUCAGUUCGGAUUGCAGGCUGCAACUCGCCUGCAUGAAGCCGGAAUCGCUAGUAAUCGCGGAUCAGCAUGCCGCGGUGAAUACGUUCCCGGGCCUU